Molecule: ribosomal RNA, 639 nt
Filed under: Triticum aestivum (bread wheat)
Lineage: Eukaryota; Viridiplantae; Streptophyta; Magnoliopsida; Poales; Poaceae
Description: partial small subunit ribosomal RNA
Source: RNAcentral
AUGGCUUACUAUUCAGAUCAUCAGGCUUAUGCGAGCAACACUACAAACAACACGGGAAGUAUUCAAGAACUGAUAGGUAAGAUUUCCCAUCGACUAGAUGAUUUAGCUCGACAGCGAGAAGGAGUUUUUGAGGAUAGGCCUAGUUCUUAUGAUCCUUAUUCCAGAGGCCAUCCUUAUGUUGCUCCUACUUGCCAUAUUUGUGGAUUUCAGGGCCAUUCGCCCGCUGAAUGUCAGCGUGGUUACUCCCAUCCUCCGGAUUGUUUUGGCAUGAGCUUCGCUCAACAGCAUAGCUCAUACCAAAACAAUUACUCACAUGGGUGGCCUGAAAGCCUGAAUAUGUCAUAUAGGAGCAACAACCCUGAGAUCUCAUCGUUUGCCUCUAGUUAUCCAUUGCAGGGAUUCAGGUACAAUGAGGAGAACCACAACUAUGCUCCCCAACAGAUUUAUUCAGCUCCUACUCAUAUACCUCAACACCAGGACAUGUUGCCAAUGGAGUUAAUUGGUCCUCCAUUUGGUCAACCAACAUCUUCAACACAAGUGCCCACACAAGAUGACUUCGAUGACAUAGACAAGCUCGCACUUUUGAGUCUCGAUUCACUUGGAGUGCUGAGGAUGAUCCUAUUAGGAAGGUUAUACUAG